GUCUGUAUAGAUUAUUCUAAAUCGUGAUGCUGUUAACUUCAAGAAAUGGUUAUUGCCAUUAUGGUCG
RNAcentral lists this transfer RNA (67 nucleotides) under Echinococcus shiquicus. RNAcentral describes it as "tRNA-Asn". Lineage: Eukaryota; Metazoa; Platyhelminthes; Cestoda; Cyclophyllidea; Taeniidae. The record is from RNAcentral.